ACGGAGCAAGUUGGUGCUGCUUUAAUAGUGCACGAACAACCUUCCUUUCUGAGUCCCUGACUGCUGAAGAGCGAGGCUAGUCCCGGCUUGACCAGCGACAUUUCUGUCUGUGUCAUAACCAAAUGAGGCAUUGGAGUUGUCACAUUACUUGGAAGAGGUAUUGAGAAAAACGUGGAAACAACAUUGAGAUAGGAAGAGAAAUGACAACCCCGGCCUGUAUAACACUGUCCCUUGCAGGCAGGUAUUCAGAGCAUCUGGAGAACGUCUCCUAUGGCCAGACAUCUGCAUCAGCAAGCUCACUGGGGACCUGCCAGGCUCUUCACUGGUGACAUGGAGGAUGAUGGUCUCCAGCCCCGUCUGCAGACUUAGCUGUGACCUGGCCCAGAUCCAUGGCCUGCCAAAGCAGGAGACCCCCACAGUUCUGCACCUAAUGGGGAGAGUCCUCCUUGUUUUCCUGCCUGAAGGACAGGAAUGCUUUGGGGUUCCCCAAAAGCUGAACAGCAGCCAGUUCCAAAAAGCUCAGGCCACCUCUUUCUCCAUGAGAUGAUCCAGCCGAGCUUCAACUUGUUUGGCACAAACAGCUGAAAUUCUUCACUGGGCUUGAUCAGCAGGAGGAAGCUCUGCAGACCAGUUUGGUGCAGGAGCCUGGGGAAGAAAAGACCUUCCUGGAAAUGAGGACUCUAGCCUGACUUUGAAUAACUCCUUUUGAAGGACCAGGUUACAUCUGAAAAGAAAGUAUAGCCGCUGUGCGUGGGACAUCGUCAGACUGGAAGUUAAGGUAUGAAAAUAGGCUGUGCUUUCCCUGUAGCAUCAACCUCAGCGAAAACCCAGAAGUGGGCAAGGAGACUUGAAGCCAGUCAUCCGCAAUUGGGUUUUACCUACUUAUAGGUGCCUCUUGUGUGUCAGUGUUCCCUCAGUUCAAAGACUUUUCUGCUUCGGUUGUAAAUGCAUUGAGUCAUCUCAGCACAUUGAUUUUAGUUGUAACUGGAGGUGAGACUCUUGAAUCCAGAGGAAAUAUAUUUUAAGAUUUGUAAUAAUUAGAAUUUAUCUUUCUAUUAUGAUUGUUGCAUUUACAAAAUUUAUACUUAUUAUAAACAAGUAUGUGAGAUCCCAUGGAUCAGGGAAAGCUUCUGGAAGAAGCAGCUGGUGAGCUGCCAUCUCAAGGGUCUGCAGGGUUAGCCAGGUAAUUGCAUGAUGGCCAGUGGUGGACAUGUUGUGUGGAGAUCGUGUAGGGUAGCAGGCAGAUAAAGGGUUUGGAGAGGAACAAGUGUUUUGAGAUGUGGCUCUGGGUAAAGUCAUGCAUAUGGAAGUUGUAAUCUCAGAGAUGACAUUUGGAACCAUUUGGGAGGUCGAGACUCUAUGUGCAGAGAGGAUAAGUGUGAUGCCUAGUGUGGAAUUUUGAGGAAAACCAAAGGUCCCUAAGAUGAGAGGGAGGAAUCAGCAAAAGAAGGAGAAGAGGAGGAGCAGAAAAGCAGAGGAUGGUGGUGACAUGGAAACCAGCUGAAGGUCCAACUUUAAAAUGGUCAAUGUGGGAACAAGUGUUUGAUGCUUCUGAAAUGUCAGCUGGGGCUGCCUGACGGAGAACUGUGGCCUCAUUAAGAUGUAGUUUGUUACACACCUAGGCUGAGCAGAGUGAUGGGCACCAGAUUACAGCAAUUUGAGAAAUGGGCUGCAUGUGAAGAGAUAUGGUCUCAUAUUGCAGAGAAGUUCUAGACGUUUGGGUAUGACCAGAAUAAGAUCAUACCUACAGGUGGUUGUAACGCUAAGGAAUGGUCAUAUUCCUGAUGUCGAAGAUGAAAAUUAAGCACUUUUAAUGUUGAUCAAAACCCAGCCUGUCCAAAGGAAGAUGCGGAUACAGCAGAGAGAGGAGCUCACUGAUAAAGCAUAAGCAUCUUGCUAAAGCCUUUUCCACUUUGCAGCAAGGGAAUCUCUCCCCAAAGCUGUAUCUUCUGAAACUGACCCUCCAUGAGGAAUUGGACCCUGGAACAGCCAUGCAUGCAGAAUUUCCCAUCCCAGGAUCAAACCAACACCACAGCAGUGACAACACCAGAUCCUAAAUCCACUGAGACCAUCAGGGAACUCCCAAUAGUGGAGUUCUUUAAAUAAGUAAGAAAGUGACAAUGCAAAGCUGUAGCAGCAUUUGUUGUGGAAAGGAAAUUCAGAGAAGAAACUUGAAUUUCCAGUGGAUGUGAUGGGAAAGGCUGUCUCCUGUCCUCAUGAGCUGGUCUUGAAGCUAAAGUCUCAGCUCCACAUCUGAUCUCAGCUCUGCUCUGUGAUGCUGGGGCUCCACUGCCAUCCACCACAUUUCUCCUCUGCCAGUAGGUUUAUUUCCUUUUAAAGUGCUUCCAUACAAGUCCCAAGAGAUGGGCUAGAAGGCUUGAGGAAAUUUUCUGUUUUCCUGACUGGGCUGUGACUGAAAACAGUGACCAUCAAUAGGAAAAGGACAACUAGUGGAUCUUCUAGAUGCUAUUUGUCACCUAUCAGGUUGGCAGAAACUAAGAAGGAGUGAUGAGAUCCUGUUUUGGUCAAUGCCUAGAAACAUAUAUAAACGUAUACACUCUCAAAUAUGAUUAAUAUAGUCAUUGUCAUCGUGGACAGUUGGCAGUAUAUGUUUGCAAUAUGUGUGUAUUUUGACCAAGAAAUUUUGCUUCAUGACACCUUCUUCAGAGAAAGACUCUCCCUUGGAUAUAAGACACCUGCAUGAUAACUGUAGCAACUUAUUUUUUAAACUUAAAAACAACUAAGAAAAUGUCAACUAGACAAUGUGGGCAAAUGAAAGAGAAAGGAAAACAGAGCAAGAAGCAGACCAGUGAAAGAGUUUCUUGUUGCACCCAUCUCAUGUGGAGCAGAUCUUGGCCCCUGUGUGUGUGUCUCUGGAGGAAAGAUCAGAUCUGGAAACCAGAUGUGACUUGUUAUGUGACCCAAGUCAGGACAUUCUUCUCUUCUCAGCCACCAGCUCCCUUUGGGUGAGCGUCGUUGGCCACAGGAGCGUAAGGACGGUCCCUGUCCUGAAGGUCACCUCCUCUGGGUUCUCUAGUCCUGGAUUUGCAUCUAUUUGGUUACUCAUCUUCUCUUAACUUCACGGUGAGAAUCUCGAAUGAAAAGAUGACUGUACAUCUUAUGUAUUAAUUUUGCAAUGAAAAGCAACCAGGUCCCCCAUCACACCACAUGUCACCAGCUUCCCAGGACGAGGUGAGUCUUUCCAUCAGAUAUUUACAUGGGCCACUCUUUGCUGACUGAAUAUAAAUCAGGUCCACCCAUGACAGAAGCACUAACAGUUUUCCAUGAUUUCCAAGGCUUCUCUCCAUUCCAUGGAGUUCCACUUUUUGACAAGCAUUUCCUGUAAAAUAGUGGGACUAUUCCAUAGGACUAAAGGAACAAAUAUUCUGAGAUUUAUAUAAAAAAUAAGGAUUUUGUUUUGCAGAAUUAAAAAAACUCAAGAAGUUUUCUUUGGUAACUAUUUUAUAAAUAAAAUGAAAGACUGGGAAUCUGGGGGUUAAUAGAUGCAAACUAUUGCCUUUGGAAGGGUAAGCAAUGAGAUGCUGUUGUAUAGCACUAGGAACUAUAUCUAGUCACUUAUGAUGGAGGAUAAUGUGAGAAAAAGAAUGUAUGUAUGACUGGGUCACUUUGCUGUACAGUACAAAUUGACAGAGCACUGUAAACCAACUAUAAUGGAAAAA
RNAcentral lists this long non-coding RNA (3680 nucleotides) under Sus scrofa (pig). Its description in RNAcentral is "lncRNA (ENSSSCG00045022756.1)". The record is from RNAcentral. Lineage: Eukaryota; Metazoa; Chordata; Mammalia; Artiodactyla; Suidae.